RNAcentral lists this transfer-messenger RNA (359 nucleotides) under Patescibacteria group. Its description in RNAcentral is "JACOXU01 sp016182185 Standard tmRNA". It matches the Rfam family "transfer-messenger RNA". Rfam says of the family: Bacterial tmRNA, also known as 10Sa RNA or SsrA, is named for its dual tRNA and mRNA-like properties. The record is from RNAcentral. RNAcentral also lists the same sequence under 1 other name.
GGGGAUGCAUUGCAUCGACAAGAAAGCACGUUAAAAACUGCAAGCCGACUUUGAUUAACAGUCGUAAAACAGAAUCAAAAUAUAAAUGCUAGAAGCAAUUCUAGAUUUCAACCAAAUUACGCAUUUGCUUAAUUAAGUUGAUGUUCGUAAUUUCUUUCUCAACGAGAUCUUACGGGCAUAAAUAAAGUUGAGAUAUAAAUAAGAGAUUGGUUUGUCUCUUAUUUGAACUUAUCAAACCUAUUCUUUAUUUAUUCCUGCCAAUAGGAAAAGAAUAAAGAGAGAAAUAAAAAUUGGCUAUGCUUGUAGAUGUUUUUAAUUUAAUUUCUUGGACUCCGAGUCACUCUCGGACAUCUCCACAA